Molecule: ribosomal RNA, 229 nt
Filed under: uncultured bacterium
Lineage: Bacteria
Description: partial 16S ribosomal RNA
Rfam family: Bacterial small subunit ribosomal RNA
Source: RNAcentral
UGCGUAGGCGGAUUUAUAAGUCAGUGGUGAAAUCCUGAAGCUUAACUUCAGAACUGCCAUUGAUACUGUAGAUCUUGAGUACGGUUGAGGUGGGCGGAAUGUGUCAUGUAGCGGUGAAAUGCUUAGAUAUGACACAGAACACCAAUUGCGAAGGCAGCUCGCUAAACCGUAACUGACGCUGAGGCACGAAAGCGUGGGGAGCGAACAGGAUUAGAUACCCUGGUAGUCC